Molecule: long non-coding RNA, 1425 nt
Organism: Canis lupus familiaris (dog)
Lineage: Eukaryota; Metazoa; Chordata; Mammalia; Carnivora; Canidae
Exons: 8
Source: RefSeq, a predicted model, not a curated record
GGGCCCGAGGCCCGCGGCCGCCUCCCGCCCCAACGCGCGAGGCCCGGGCUGCGCGCAGGGAAACCUGUUGAACUGGUCUGGCUCGGGGGGCGGGGGGCCGACCGGCCGCGCAGGUGAAGCGGCUGCCCGACUAGGCUCCGUCGGUUUAGUCAGCCCCUGGCAAGAUGGGCUUCUUCCCUAGCCGGGUGUCACCAGGGGCUUGGAAGGAAAACGAGCCGCCGGGCCGCAGCUACAGGAAAUGGUGGGGAUGGAGCGAGGCGCUCGCGCACAGAUGCGCCGCGUGGGCUGGCCUGGGCCCCGGCCUGAAUUAUUCAAACAGGAUAUUGCCUCACUGGGGACUGCUCCCGUCGGGGCUUCAACAACAAUAGCCUCUGGGAACAUAAUUUCUUCUUUCUAAUAUCAAGGAAGAGUUCUAGCUGUUACUUUUUCCAGUUACUGCACCAGGUCCAGUAGAAAAUGCCUAAUCCAUCAUCUUCCAGGAGGAUCCUGGCUCAUGAAUCACUCCCUCUGGAAGAAGCCAGCUGCCACAUUGUAAACAGCCUCCAUCCAAGUGGAGAAGAACUGAAGCCUCCGGCAGACACUAGCGCUAACCCACCAUGUGUCAGCCAAGCUACCAGGGAGACUUCGUAAAAAAGAAGAAGAAGAAGAAGAAGAAGAAGAAGAAGAAGAAGAAGAAGAAGAAGAAGAAGAAACAAGUUUAACUAGAAAGGGAAACCGCUUUCUCUGUCUUCUCUUUCCUUCAUCUACAGCAAUCUCUGUGUGACUGAAGAAAUAACAUCGAGGUGGACCUGGUGUUGUUAAAACUUUCUCCUUUGUUCAGGAGCUGAGUUUUAAAAUAAUUGAGGUGAAGGCGAGUUCCAGAACACCCCACAGCCCUAGGUGAUUGUCAGAUGUUCAGUUUGUCACUGUGGAAGCCCUGGAGAAGUAUCUUGGUUGCUGCUGGCAGAGGUUAUCAGGCCCACGGGUUUCUUCAAAAUAUAGGGCAUGUGAAGAGUCGCUUGGCCUGGGGGCCGGGAGAUCCUCCACCGCCUUGGAAGUUGAGAUCAGCCAGGCGCCAGGGGCGACCCAGGACAGAAGAUGAUUAUCUGCAGAUGAGAGGGAGGAAAUUCUUCUUUCCCCAGUUUUCUCUGCUAACAACACUGUGGCAAAGAAAGCAGUGAUUGGGUCAAGUGUCUGCCUUCAUAGAUGGGAAAGACUUCACUCAAUGCACGAGUCUGAUGUGCAUACGUCAAGAGCACAUUUGAUUGUCAACCAUUUCUGCUUCCAACAACGUCCUCCAUCCUGAUAAGCAAAACUUGAAAAAAGAAUGCACUGUCCUGAGUAUGGAGUAUAACUUGAUUAAUGGCAAGCUCAUCAGAGGAAACAGGAAACUACUCACUCGUCUGCACCAUAGGAUUUGUAUCCUUCAAAGUAACUUAAUUCUGA